RNAcentral lists this ribosomal RNA (843 nucleotides) under Triticum aestivum (bread wheat). RNAcentral's name for it is "partial small subunit ribosomal RNA". The record is from RNAcentral. Lineage: Eukaryota; Viridiplantae; Streptophyta; Magnoliopsida; Poales; Poaceae.
AUGCUUCAUUGCAACCUCACCGGAGCUCCCACAACCGCCGCAGCGCUUCACUGCAGCUUCCACGUCUUCAUUGCAACCUCGCCGGAGCUCCGACGACCGCCGCAGCGCUUCACUGCAGCUUCCACGUCUUCAUUGCAACCUCGCCGGAGCUCCGACGACCGCCGCGGCGCUUCACUGCAGCUUCGACGGCGCUUCAUUGCAACCUCGCCGGAGCUCCGACGACCGCCGCGGCGCUUCACUGCAGCUUCGACGACGCUUCAUUACAACCUCGCCGCACCCGACGGGAGCCGGCGAAGCUUCACUGCAGCACAACGCGACGGCGGCGAGGUGCUGCGACGAAUAAGGCGGUGGCGACGAAGAUGUUGCGACGCAGCACGCGGUGCCGCUGGAGCUCUGGCAGCCCGAUGUUGCCCUGCUCCUCUCCUCAGCUUCCCGAUUGUAGGAUGUGCGACGAGUGGCAACCCAUCUCCAACACCGUCGUCAUCUGCAGCUCCGGUGGCCACUACCACGCAGCCCCGCGGGAUUCCGCGCCACCGCCCCACACCAUGCGCACCAUCGUCCUCUUUGUUUUCAACAUUGACUGGGUUGGGCGGAGGAUGCAGCAAGCCGGCCGCCGGCGGCAGCCCCUGCUGUUUUUCUAGCUGCUUUGGUGGUGCUCGCCAUGGGUACUCUCCUCUGGCUGUGGGGAUGAAUGGGAUUGAAAAGGGGAAGAAAAGAAACAUGUGGAGGAGGCAGCUUCCCGUUAGAGAUAAGGUUGAGGGAAGCGGUGGGCUGCCUGACGGGGGCCACGUGGCGCACAGAGGAGGGGGUUUACAAGAUGAAGAAAUCAGUCGGUGGAUUUAG